AUCCUGGCUCAGGAUGAACGCUGGCGGUCUGCUUAACACAUGCAAGUCGAACGCAACCUUCGGGUUGAGUGGCGGACGGGUGAGUAACGCGUGAGAAUCUGCCUUGGGGUCGGGGACAACCACUGGAAACGGUGGCUAAUACCGGAUAAGCCUUUGGGUAAAAGAUUUAUUGCCCCAAGAGGAGCUCGCGUCUGAUUAGCUAGUUGGUGAGGUAAAAGCUCACCAAGGCAGCGAUCAGUAGCUGGUCUGAGAGGACGAUCAGCCACACUGGGACUGAGACACGGCCCAGACUCCUACGGGAGGCAGCAGUGGGGAAUUUUCCGCAAUGGGCGAAAGCCUGACGGAGCAAGACCGCGUGAGGGAGGAAGGCUCUUGGGUUGUAAACCUCUUUUCUCAGGGAAGAAGCUCUGACGGUACCUGAGGAAUCAGCCUCGGCUAACUCCGUGCCAGCAGCCGCGGUAAUACGGAGGAGGCAAGCGUUAUCCGGAAUUAUUGGGCGUAAAGCGUCCGCAGGUGGCGAUUCAAGUCUGCUGUCAAAGCACGGGGCUUAACUCCGUUAAGGCAGUGGAAACUGAAUAGCUAGAGUGCCGUAGGGGUAGAGGGAAUUCCCGGUGUAGCGGUGAAAUGCGUAGAGAUCGGGAAGAACAUCGGUGGCGAAAGCGCUCUACUGGACGGCAACUGACACUCAGGGACGAAAGCUAGGGGAGCGAAUGGGAUUAGAUACCCCAGUAGUCCUAGCUGUAAACGAUGGAUACUAGGUGUAGCUUGUAUCGACCCGAGCUGUGCCGAAGCUAACGCGUUAAGUAUCCCGCCUGGGGAGUACGCACGCAAGUGUGAAACUC
RNAcentral lists this ribosomal RNA (842 nucleotides) under uncultured organism. Its description in RNAcentral is "bacterial SSU rRNA". It matches the Rfam family "Bacterial small subunit ribosomal RNA", at positions 16 to 902 of the family's 1533-position model. The record is from RNAcentral.